GUGAGCAUACUGAGUCUGAUUACCUCUUCCUUGUCCCCUUUUCUUCUUUCCAUCAUCUCUCAGGGCUACAAGAGAUGGAUUUUUCUCCUUCUUGUAUAUCAGGAGCUUUCCUUAUGUACUAUAUCCUCUUCAUUCUUGUGAUGGCAUAUGCUCUGCUCCCUGUUGUGGAGCCAUGAUGGUGAAUGGAGUGCAAGAGAGAAACUAGUUUAACAAUAAUGGAAUAUCUAUUGGGAAAUAUUGAAAAAUAUUAUCAUAUCUCCAUAUCACUGGCUCCUACAUAUUUUUAGUUUAUGUUUUGAGAUUAAAUGUUAGAGACUUCUUUGUGCAAAGGUGUUCAAACCCAUCUUAAAAUUGUGGAGCUUGGGAUUUGUUAGAAUCAGCCUUAGAGAUCAUUUAAUUCUCAUUUCUAUACUUGACUGGGAAACUAAAGUUCAAAGAGGUGAGGUGACAAAACCACGUCCCCUAACUACUUAGUAGCAAAGUUACUGCCUGCCAGUCCAGUGCCCCUUCCAUUCACAGGUAUUACAGACUCUUAAUUCUCCCGGUGAAAACCCAAAAUAUUACAUCUGGUUUUAUGCAUUGCCAGGUCCACCUGUGUUAGCAAAUAAUCCCGUCAAUUAGCUGUCAUAGAAAUUAUGUGUGAGAGAAAACAGGAGAAAAAUUUAAAGGGGAUUGUUAUUUUGGGGUAGGGGUCUCCCAGAAUACUUUCAGUAUACGCUUCACAUAAUUCCAGAGGACUAAAUUCCCUCAGGGUUUGCUCUUUCUUCAAGAACAUUUGUGUUUGUUUUUUUCUCAACUAAUUACUGGUGCUUAACAGGUUAGUGUACUUAAAAUUAUUUGUUUAUAAAGGCUAUCACAAUAGAAGUGUGGAAAAAAUAAGCCCUUUAAUCAUUUUAAUACCUGGCAGGUGAUAUUUACUGUGAUUUUUUAAAUGAUAAUUUUUACCAUUUCAAAGAUUCAGUUUCCCUUUUCUCUGUCAUUCCAUCAUCUAGUCCUAAGCCAUCAGCACUCAGUCAGUUACAUAAGGCACCUCAAAGCUGCUCACUCUUUUUAUGUCGUUUAGGAAAUUAGUUUGAUCUGAAUAUGGUUUUCCUGAAGGAAUAACCAGUUCUGUUUAAAAUAUCCUUGUUAGAGUAUGAAUGACUUAUCUCACUAAGCUGCAAAAAUUCAUUCUUUAGUACAUGCGCAGAUAAUAUUUUAUCAGUUAGGCCUUGAAAAUUAACUUGCAACUAAGGAUUUAAAUUUAAUGUAUAUGUGGGAAAACCUGGUAAGCACGCAAUCCAAUGAUACUCACAAUAGAGGUUAUCUUUAAAGAAUUAUGGAAACGAACUUUAAUACCUUUCCCUGUGGAAUAAUAGAGGAAUAGCAGUGUUAAAAGAAAUUAAUUAUGUUCAAGAUUUAGGAUGGGCUAUGAUAGACAGUUGUAACUCUUUAUUUUUGCUGUUUAAAAGCAGAAUUCAAUUUCCAAGCAUUGAGAGAAGACUAGGCCAAAAAAUAAAGGUGUAUUAUAUUAUGGAAGGACUGGUAGGUGACUGAAGUGUGGCCAAAAGUGAGAAUGGAAAACCAAGAGGGAGCUCAGCCACUUACUGGCUGUCUGACCUUCCACAAAUUACUUACCCUCUCUGUGCUUGAGUUUCUGCAUCUGUAAAAUGGGGGCGAUAAUAGAUCCUCAUUUCUCAGGAUUGUUGUGAGGAUUAAGCAAAUUAAUACCUUAAAUGCUUUAAACAGUGUUUGCUGCAUAUAGGGGCUCAGUAAAGUGUUAGCCAUUAUUUUUAUUGCUGCUGGUGUCGGUGUUAUUUCAUGCCUUACUUGAUGAUUUUCAAAAUUACACAGACUAUGUAUGUAGGGAAGCAGGUAUGGUUCUUGUUGUAAGGGAAUAUGCCUAGAAAAUAAAUGGUAUUAGAAAGGUACAGGGAACACGGCACCAGAGGAAGGAGUUGGGCACAACAACAAUAGGUAGAGAUCAGACAUAGGUUGAAACUGAUGGGGGAAGACCUCUUGUGCAGAAUUUCUCUACUUAAGUGAUAUUUGAACCGAAGAUCUUGUGGCAGAUGGAGAAUAUUCUGACAUAGUUUCACUAUGGGAGCCUCUCAAGAGAGAGUCUAAGGAGAAGGUCAGGAAACAAACACAUAGGCCUAGAAAGAAAAAAUAAGAAAGAAAGAAGACAGCAGUUGGAGGUUUAUCUGUGUUUGUGGAAGAAUUGGAUGCAUUUAAGUAGCAGGUUAAAAUUUAAAAACUCACUUGGGCCUCCUUGAAAGGAGUAGGAAUGAUAGAAAUGGAAGAGGAGCAGAGAAAUUAAGGGCAGAAAGUAAUACAGGAAGUAGCACAAGUUACUCAAGGACUGGAGAAUCUGAAAGCUAAAGGAAGUGGGACUUUAGUGGAGGACAUAUUAGACCCCUCUAUGGUCUUGAGAUUAUGGCCUUUGGAAGAAUCAACAGAAGGUUCAGAUUCAGGAAUCUGUUGAAAGUGAUAACCCAGCUAAGAUAGAUUUAAGAAAAGAGGAUCUUGGAAGCAAGGUUAAUAGACUUAAGGAGCUCUAGAGCAGGAAACAGUGGCAGCAGCUGUGUCAUAAAGUUUAAAAAGUCUUGGGAUCCUGUUGGAGAUGGACAAAUACCCAGGGAAGAUCAGCUGCAAGGCUCUCAGCAUGGACUGUAGGGUUGCCUGGUGUAAAUGUGGAAUGCUGUGUUCGCACACGGAAGAGGAACCUAUGUCACUCGACAGAGGCCAAGCUUAAUUUAACACUGGACUUCCAGGCCAGAAACACUCCAAAGGAAAAUGGAAAUAAAAGUGUUCAAAACGUGAGAAGGGUACCAAGAGAAAGAAGGAAGAUUUGGAUGUAAUCUAGGCAUUGGAGAUGCUACCACUGAAAACCUCCUUGUGUCUCUUUGUACCUAAUUGGGCCCUAUGCAUAUUCUUGAAUUAAUCUCUGGCAAGGGUGAGGGGAUUACUCUUAGAAUCCUCUGAAAAGGACUGAAAAGAUCAGAAAACUAGAGAGAAGAGUAAUUGGACUUUAAGGUCUUUGGAGUUCAAAAAGUUUACAGUAGGAAGAGGGACCCAUUUUGGACUUGAAUUUCUCUGAAACUCUUAGGAGGACCAGCUCAACUCUCAGGGGUCCCAGGGAUUUACGGUGAGGAGCGGUGGUAAUAACUGAGGGAGCUGCUAAUCUCUCGCAAUUGGACAAUCCUGGAUGAACAAAGUUCCCAACUCUGUGGGUCUGGCAGGCCAACUCUGUCCUGGCACCUGGUCAGUGUCCUACCUUUGAUGACUGGAUUCUGAUCACUUUAUGUUCCUUGCCUCGUUUCCUGUUUGCUGGACCUGCUCCUCCCAAGGUUCUAAUCUAUGUCGUGGACCUGGGCUGGUAAAUCACCAAUCAUAUUGUUAUAAUCCACAUAAUUUGUGUUCUGUUGACACUAAUGACAAGAUAUACAACGUUUCUUGAAUCAACGUACUUAUUAGUUUUUUAUCUUUUUAUUACGGAAAAUUUCAAACAUUUACAAACAUAGAGGAUAAAAAACUCCAUGUACCUAUCAUCCAGCUUCAACAAUUGUUAACCCUUGGUUGAGCUUGCUUCAUCUAUACUCCCCAACUCUCUAAACCCAAUUAUUUUGAUGCAAAUCCUAGAUAUCAUUCUAUCCGUGAAUAUAUCAAUAUGCAUCUCUAGAAAAAAGGAUUUCCUAAAAAAUUAACCUUAGUACUAUUGUCACAUGAAAAAAUAAUUCCUUAAUAUCAGAUGUUUUAAAAAUUUGUUUCAAUAAAAUUGGAAAAGUUUUAUUCAGCUGAGGCAGUAGCAACCAGAAUUGUUAGCAAAAUUUCUCAACAUUUAUAUUUGGAAAUGAACCAUGAAUUUUACAUAUUAAUUUCAAACAUUUUAAUGGGAUUGCAAUAAUGAUCAUUACCACAGAAAAUAAUACAAAAUUUUAAUUUUAUCGAAUAAAUUCUACAAUUUGCAUUGUGAUUGUUUCCCCACCAGCCUUUAAGCAAUAUCUAUAUCCAUACAGUGUUAAGUUCUU
This 4010-nucleotide long non-coding RNA is filed under the name Equus caballus (horse). RNAcentral's name for it is "lncRNA (ENSECAG00000053795.1)". The record is from RNAcentral. Lineage: Eukaryota; Metazoa; Chordata; Mammalia; Perissodactyla; Equidae.